This 1277-nucleotide long non-coding RNA is filed under the name Piliocolobus tephrosceles (Ugandan red Colobus). The record is from RNAcentral. Lineage: Eukaryota; Metazoa; Chordata; Mammalia; Primates; Cercopithecidae.
UGGGGACAGUCCGCCGAGGACCUGUGGCACUGGGGAGGUUGGGGCAUUUUGGUGUUUCCAUGAGCAAAACUGGUCAUUCCUACCUUCUGGAUGGGUUUUGAGUUUCCUACCCACCCCCCCCUUUUUUUUUUUUUUGAGACAGAGUCUUGCUCUGUCGCCCAGGUUGGAGUGCAGUGGCACGACUCGGCUCACUGCAACCUCCACCUCCUGGGUUCAAGCAAUUCUGCCUCAGCCUCCCGCGUAGCUGAGAUUACAGGCAUGCGCCACUAAGCCUGGCUAAUUUAGUACAGAUGGGGUAUCAUCAUAUUGGUCAGGCUGGUCUCGAACUCCUAACCUCGUGAUCCGCCCACCUCGGCUUCCCAAAGUGCUAGGGUUACAGGCAUGAGGCACUGUGCCCGGCCACGUUUCCUACUCUUUAAGAUCUGUUAGCUUGGCCUUUGUUCCUAAAGGUAAGUGGCCUCAGGACCUGGUUGCAGAGGAGCUGGGGCUCCCAUGAUGUCUAGCACUGGGCUCCGAUCACCCCUGAGGACACAGUGCACCCCAGGACCUUUGACACCUGGGAGUCUGAGGGGCCCCAGUGUUAAUGGCUCAUGGACUUGCAGACUAUUUCUUCCCCCACCCUCACUGUGUCUUUCUGUGUUACAGGUGCAGCUUCAAGCUUAGGACCACCCACCAUGCCCAUCCAGGUGCUGAAGGGCCUGACCAUCGCUUGGUAAGAACAGAGGAGGCUGCCCGUGACUCGUGAUGCGUCCCUCCAGGCUCUCUGCUGUUUACUGCCUAGGCGUGGCUGCACCCACCCACCUGGGCCGGAGCUGGUUCUGCUCCUGCUACAGGGACACUGAGCUCCUGGCUGUCUCGGCGCUUUGGGCAAGAACCGCAACAAGCUCUCCUGGGCCCUGCAGGUGUACGGCCGGGCCCCUGCCUUGUGCCCCAUCUCUCGAGAACUGCUGCUGCUGGGCGACCUGAUCCAACCUGACAGGGUGCCAUCUUCAGCUACCACUGCAAGGCCCUGAGGGCAACAGCAGCGUGGCACUGCCCACCUGGCUGCUGGUGGCCUGGUGCCAGCUGGGAGUCCUCCCAGCACUUCGAGGCCACUGAGCCGCCCUUCCAGCCCUGGCCCACCAUGGAGAGGGGUAUCCAGCUUCCUCUUCAACCUCGUCUGCCCCUGAGCCAGUGACGCCCAAGGACACGUCUGUUAUGUUACCCAGGGCCUGUACCAGCGCCAGCUGGUCAAGGGCAUGACGUUGUUCUAGGCCGUCCUGGACAUCCAGGCCAUG